Non-coding RNA from Malus domestica (apple), 2824 nucleotides. NCBI's taxonomy places the organism in Eukaryota, Viridiplantae, Streptophyta, Magnoliopsida, Rosales, Rosaceae. The record is from RefSeq and is a predicted model, not a curated record.
AUUAUAUCCACAACUCAUUUGCUGGCUACAAGGACUGGAUAUAGAAUAAUGGUUUAAUAAUGGUUUUAGAAUGGUAAAUGAUCGCAGAAGCAACAUGGAAUUCAAUAGUUGAUAUUUUGACUAUAAUUACUUUUUGACACUUAUGUAUUAAAAAAAUAGCAUCCUAUUAUAUAUCUGUUACUAUGAGUUUAAUUUCUUUCAAAUUCUUCCAUAAAGUGUGAGAUUUUCUAUUUUGUAUUAUCAUCAUUGCUAGCCGGUAAUUUGAGAUCCUUUUUCUUUUAGUUAAGAAAAUAUAUUUUCGCAAAAGGCCUUUGAGAUAGGUUUUUUUUUUUCUUUUCUUUUUCUUUUUAUCUAAUUUAUCCUUCUAGAUGAUUUAGUUUAUUGGGAUAAUUUAUUAGGAUACCAGCAUAUAAAUAACUUAGUUUAUUGGAAUUUGCUAUGUGGUGUUGCUUUUAAGCAAAUUAAGUACAAUAAAGUGCAAUCGUGGCUUCUUCUUGCUCUGUGUUUUGUUUAUUGGGUACCUAUUUGUGGUUUUCCUAUAGGUCUCUAAUGUGAAAUAGAAAGAUGUUGGCGGUCUUGAGGAUGUGAAGAAAUCGAUUCUGGAUACUGUUUUUGUAGAAUACUCAUCUUGAGUUGUUGAAUGUUUAAGAAUAAGUUGUAGCAAAUUGUAAAAUAAUUGCUUGCCACUGGUAGCUUCUUAAGCGGAAGAUCCUAUUCAAUUCCUUAUCUCAUUGUUGGAUUUUCCAUUCAAUUCCUUAUCUUACUGCUGUAUUUUUCAUGGAGUUUGGGUGCACAAUUACAAGGAGAGAAAGAGAGGGUGGGUGCAGUUAUUUUCUUUUUCUAUAUGCUUCCUUUCCCAAUUUGCUUAUCUGGUUGUUGGCGUUCGUCUUCCUCCUCAAGGUAAGGACUUUUCAAUCAAUUUCUGAAGAUUUAAUAUGGGUUUUAUUGUUUUAGUUCGAACAUUCACGGAUCUAUGAGCAAUAAUUUCAGAUCUAAUGGUUUUGUUUUCGAAUUUUCCUAGCUGUGUAGUUCACCAUUUUUUUUGCUUCUGAAUCUGAAAAAUGGAUUGAAAUUUUUUAUUUUAUUUUAUUGCUGUAGACAUAACCCAGAAUUUUUUUUUUUUUUUUUCAUUUGGUGAAUUGGGUUUGGUUGUUGUACAUUUUUCUCUCUGCAUCUACACAACGUUGUUCUACCAUGCCUGGGUUUCGAAGUUCCAAAUCCAAUUUAAUGCUUCAUCAACUCCACUUAAAGGUUUGAUUAUAUUGGGGUUGAGUUUUAAAGUGAGGGUGCAGGGGAACAAGGGUGCAUGAUGUGCGCGUAGGGUGCAGGGGUUUCAGGGGCGGUAGGGGGUGGGGUGUGCCUGUGAAUUGCAGAGCUGCUCAGCUCUUCCUCUAUAAGAUGAGUUUCAUCCCUGCCUUAAUUCACUUAAAUCCUGUGAUUUCAUGCCUUUUUUGGUUCUGAUUUCAGAUGGUGGUUUCAAUUUUUGCUUUGUUCUGCCUCUAGACAGCUGCCACCACCACUUUGUCCAAAUCUGAUGGCUCAGGCUGUAGCAUCUGCGUGAAUCUCCCCGUACAAUUGGACUCCGCGAUGUUUUCCAAAUAAACUCCAAACCCCAAAGGGUGCGGCCGAAAAGUUAAAAUCUGAGACAAUCAAAUCCAAUCCAGGGAAGAGAUUGGAUAGCUUCUGAGGUGUGGCUAUGAUAUGUGCCGACAAUUCCAAAUGGAGAUGAUGCUGAAGAAGAUUUGCAGAGCGGUUUGGGAUAUCCGUGCAGCUCACAUAAGAAGAGAAUCACAACUUUUGGGCUGAGAGGUAACUGGGAUUUGUUCUUCUGGAUCAGUUUUAAGUGCAGGUUUGCGUUGGAUAUAGGAUAGUCAUGGAUCGGUUCAAAGCUUGGCUAAUGAUAGUUUCAGAUCUUGAUCAUACAAUGGCAUUGGAAAAAAAAAUAGAAAUUGGUUUUCGCUCAAUGCAUAGUUAAUCUUAAAAUACGGUUUAUUAAAUUGGGUUCAUGAAUUAUGGGUGCUAGCAAAUUAGCGACAUCGACUCCUAUAACGAAGAGGUUGAUGAGAGACUACAAGAGGCUGCAACACUACGCAAAAAGGCUGUUGAUGCUGCUGGUUUUUUUCUGUAAUCGAUUUAGGAGUUCCUAUUGUAUUCUUAAGCAUAACGUCUGACUGCCAAUGACAUAUUCUAUUGCUUUCUACAGCUGCCAAUGCCUAAACCUCCAACAAAAUGGAAACUUUUGCCAAAACAAAAGGUUGAACAAAAAUAUCUCCAGGAUCCCCAUUUUAUUAAUUGUGUUGUUAAGGUUUUUUUCAAUUGUUAUUUACGAAGGUUGUGACUCUUCAUGUUGGCACCAAAAUAAAGUUUGUAGAAGGUUGUUGACUGACGAUAAAAGAGAAGUAUGCAUAUCAUGAAAAAUAAAAGAUGGAAGUUCUGAAGUGACGACCAAGAAAUGAGACUUAAGUUUGAGUUUUGAAUUGGAGUUCUCAUGCAAGAAGAAAGGUCACUUGAGUUUUGAGUUCCUAUAUAUUUUCAUUGUUUCAUUUAUACAUCUUUUGGAGGAUUGGAGGGGAUUGGGAGGCAGAUGAGUGAGACUUCCGAUGGUUACACAGAAAUAAAUGGUCUCUCGCAUAAUUAGGAAGCAAUUGCUAAGUGAGGAUUCUCCGUUUCGCUUUGGAUAGAAAAUAAUUAAGUGAAAAUGCAUUGAUUUGGUUUUAAUUUUCCUAAUUUCUUCAACAUGUGUAUUAAACUAAAGCGAAAUGCUUAUUUCGGCGUAUGUAUUGUAUAUUAAACUCAACUAAAUGGAAAUGUUCAUUACAUUGCA